This 24-nucleotide non-coding RNA is filed under the name Arabidopsis thaliana (thale cress). Lineage: Eukaryota; Viridiplantae; Streptophyta; Magnoliopsida; Brassicales; Brassicaceae. The record is from RNAcentral.
GAUGAGAUGACAUAGAAAAAUGGU